Molecule: ribosomal RNA, 582 nt
Filed under: uncultured bacterium
Lineage: Bacteria
Description: bacterial SSU rRNA
Rfam family: Bacterial small subunit ribosomal RNA
Source: RNAcentral
AAGGGAUAGUAAUGCGUGGAUACCUGCCCCUGGGACGGGGAUAGCUGCUGGAAACGGCAAUUAAUACCCGAUGACGUCUCCGGACCAAAGGUGUGAUUCCGCCCGGGGAGGGGUUCACGUCCUAUUAGCUAGUUGGCGAGGUAACGGCUCACCAAGGCCACGAUGGGUAGCGGGUGUGAGAGCACGACCCGCAUCACUGGGACUGAGACACUGCCCAGACACCUACGGGUGGCUGCAGUCGAGGAUCUUCGGCAAUGGGCGAAAGCCUGACCGAGCGACGCCGCGUGCGGGAUGAAGGCCUUCGGGUUGUAAACCGCUUUCGGAGGGGAGGAAAUCGAGGUGGGAUCACCCAUCUCGUUGACCUAUCCUCGGAAGAAGGACGGGCUAAGUUCGUGCCAGCAGCCGCGGUAAUACGAACCGUCCAAACGUUAUUCGGAAUUACUGGGCUUAAAGGGUGCGUAGGCGGCCCGGUAAGUUGGGUGUGAAAUCCCUCGGCUCAACCGAGGAAUUGCGCCCAAAACUGUCGGGCUUGAGGGAGAUAGAGGUGAGCGGAACUUAGGGUGGAGCGGUGAAAUGCGUUGA